Molecule: long non-coding RNA, 602 nt
Organism: Bos taurus (domestic cattle)
Lineage: Eukaryota; Metazoa; Chordata; Mammalia; Artiodactyla; Bovidae
Source: Ensembl
AAAUGGGGAAAGCAUGUAUUAGUGUCGGAGACACUCUGGAAAUGGAAAAGCCCCAGGGUAGAAACACUACAAAAUUCUGCCUGCCGGAGAGUAAUGGGAAGGCUGCUGCAGCAAGAACCUGUCAGAUGCAAGAGAGGUCACUUGCCUAGGAGGACCACUCUGCCCUAACUUGUCCCUGCUCUCUGGAAAAUGGGCCCAUGUCAAGGCUUUAGGAUGAUUCCUUACUGCCUUCCAACCCUGCAGAGAUGGUCUCGGCCUGGGCCCUGCAUCCACCCUGAGAUACCAUCCCUACCUCACCGCUCCUGCUCUGCUCUCCUGGGCCCCUGAAGCACAGCAAGAUGAAGACCGCAAUCACCUCGUGACUGAUGGCCAAGGCAGCACACAGAAGAGCCUCCGUGCAUUUCUGUCCAAACUGAGGAAGUUAAAGAAGUCCAGAUUCCCUCACUUAACGGGGACAUCGGUCCCCUUGCUGGGCACUGGCCCUGAAUCUUUGCUCAUCCAGACUCACCCUGUCUGCAGAAAGUGGACUCCCGCGUGCUCAGUCCAGAAGGGGAGCACAGGCCCAGGCCCGCUCCCUCAGGAGGAGGCGUGUGCGUCAGGAG